GAUGGAGAACGCAGCAAAAUGCGAUAAGUAAUGUGAAUUGCAGAAUUCAGUGAAUCAUCGAAUCUUUGAACGCACAUUGCGCCCGCCAGUAUUCUGGCGGGCAUGCCUGUUCGAGCGUCAUUUCAACCCUCAAGCCCUCGGGUUUGGUGUUGGGGAUCGGCGAGCCUUUCUGGCAAGCCGGCCCCGAAAUCUAGUGGCGGUCUCGCUGCAGCCUCCAUUGCGUAGUAGUAAAACCCUCGCAACUGGAACGCGGCGCGGCCAAGCCGUUAAACCCCCAACUUCUGAAUGUUGACCUCGGAUCAGGUAGGAAUACCCGCUGAACUUAAGCAUAUCAAUAAGCGGAGGA
This 346-nucleotide unclassified non-coding RNA is filed under the name soil metagenome. Its description in RNAcentral is "partial contains 5.8S ribosomal RNA, internal transcribed spacer 2, and large subunit ribosomal RNA". The stretch from base 1 to 120 matches the Rfam family "5.8S ribosomal RNA", at positions 35 to 154 of the family's 154-position model. The record is from RNAcentral.